UAUCCGGAUUUACUGGGUGUAAAGGGAGCGUAGACGGUUUUGCAAGUCUGAAGUGAAAGCCCGGGGCUUAACCCCGGGACUGCUUUGGAAACUGUAGAACUAGAGUGCAGGAGAGGUAAGUGGAAUUCCUAGUGUAGCGGUGAAAUGCGUAGAUAUUAGGAGGAACACCAGUGGCGAAGGCGGCUUACUGGACUGUAACUGACGUUGAGGCUCGAAAGCGUGGGGAGCAAACAGGAUUAGAUACCCUGGUAGUCCACGCCGUAAACGAUGAUUACUAGGUGUUGGUGGGUACGACCCAUCGGUGCCGCAGCAAACGCAAUAAGUACUCCACCUGGGGAGUACAUUCGGCAAGAAUGAAACUCAAAGGAAUUGCACGGGGACCCGC
This 385-nucleotide ribosomal RNA is filed under the name uncultured bacterium. Its description in RNAcentral is "bacterial SSU rRNA". It matches the Rfam family "Bacterial small subunit ribosomal RNA", at positions 542 to 924 of the family's 1533-position model. The record is from RNAcentral.